CCUACGGGCGGCAGCAGUGGGGAAUAUUGCACAAUGGGCGCAAGCCUGAUGCAGCCAUGCCGCGUGUGUGAAGAAGGCCUUCGGGUUGUAAAGCACUUUCAGCGGGGAGGAAGGCGGUGAGGUUAAUAACCUCAUCGAUUGACGUUACCCGCAGAAGAAGCACCGGCUAACUCCGUGCCAGCAGCCGCGGUAAUACGGAGGGUGCAAGCGUUAAUCAGAAUUACUGGGCGUAAAGCGCACGCAGGCGGUCUGUCAAGUCGGAUGUGAAAUCCCCGGGCUCAACCUGGGAACUGCAUUCGAAACUGGCAGGCUAGAGUCUUGUAGAGGGGGGUAGAAUUCCAGGUGUAGCGGUGAAAUGCGUAGAGAUCUGGAGGAAUACCGGUGGCGAAGGCGGCCCCCUGGACAAAGACUGACGCUCAGGUGCGAAAGCGUGGGGAGCAAACAGGAUUAGAUACCCGGGUAGUC
RNAcentral lists this ribosomal RNA (465 nucleotides) under uncultured Klebsiella sp. RNAcentral's name for it is "bacterial SSU rRNA". It matches the Rfam family "Bacterial small subunit ribosomal RNA", at positions 338 to 795 of the family's 1533-position model. Lineage: Bacteria; Pseudomonadati; Pseudomonadota; Gammaproteobacteria; Enterobacterales; Enterobacteriaceae. The record is from RNAcentral.